RNAcentral lists this unclassified non-coding RNA (240 nucleotides) under soil metagenome. RNAcentral describes it as "partial contains 5.8S ribosomal RNA, internal transcribed spacer 2, and large subunit ribosomal RNA". The record is from RNAcentral.
AACGCACGAGACCUGCGGACCUGCGGAGGGAUCAUUACUGAAUUGAUUUUGGGGAUGUUGCUGGUCUCUUGAGGCAAUGGUGCACUCCCUCAAACAUUUCACAAUUUCCAUCUCACCCAUGUGCACAUCCUGUAGGUGGUCUCCCAACCCCCCCCCACCUUUCCUUGGGGGAGUGUGUGGGUCUGGUCUCCUAUGUAUUUUUCCUUGCCAACAUCACACGUUUUGACUGGAUGAAUCCUG